Molecule: non-coding RNA, 427 nt
Organism: Myodes glareolus (Bank vole)
Lineage: Eukaryota; Metazoa; Chordata; Mammalia; Rodentia; Cricetidae
Source: RefSeq, a predicted model, not a curated record
GAUUAAGAUGAAGGAAAAGCCAUCACAAGUUCACAAAAUCAAAAGUGAAAUAAAAGUGUUGAAUUAUCAAAUAUGUAGGACGCAUUGAUUUGUCAACUUUCCUCUUCGUGUGUGUCCUUUGAUAAGAAACAAGAUGGAUGGGAAAUAUAAGUGAUGUCUAAAUUAAUUCCACUGUUAUUGGCCCAAGAGUAACAAGGAAUUACUUGCAGGCACUGCUGCCAGAAUCCAGAGCCUGUGCCUAUGCGCAAAUCCUCUACCACUAGCCUAUAUUCCCAACCCUAGAAUUUUAUUCUAAGAGCAUUAAAAAAGUCACCAAUGAGUUUAAAGCAAAUGAUAGAUAAGAUUUCUUUAAUGUACUAAAAAGUUCACAUUUAUUAGGGGAUAUUAUUUUAAGGUGUGUAAGUUUUGUUUAUGCUGCAUUUUCUUA